This 253-nucleotide ribosomal RNA is filed under the name uncultured bacterium. Its description in RNAcentral is "partial 16S ribosomal RNA". It matches the Rfam family "Bacterial small subunit ribosomal RNA", at positions 524 to 776 of the family's 1533-position model. The record is from RNAcentral.
UACGGAGGGUGAGAGCGUUGUCCGGAAUCACUGGGCGUAAAGGGCGCGUAGGCGGCCUGGCAAGUCGAUGGUGAAAGCCCGAGGCUCAACUUCGGGUCGGCCACUGAUACUGCUGGGCUUGAGUCGACUAGAGGCAGAUGGAAUUCCGGGUGUAGCGGUGGAAUGCGUAGAGAUCCGGAAGAACACCGGUGGCGAAGGCGGUCUGCUGGGGUCGAACUGACGCUGAGGCGCGACAGCGUGGGGAGCAAACAGG